Passer domesticus (house sparrow) is the source of this 1125-nucleotide long non-coding RNA. RefSeq lists it as uncharacterized. The record is from RefSeq and is a predicted model, not a curated record. The transcript has 3 exons. Lineage: Eukaryota; Metazoa; Chordata; Aves; Passeriformes; Passeridae.
GGAGAUGUCAAACUGGAAAAGAAAGAAUGGAUAUUUACAUUUUUCAAAGCCUGCAAGAGGAAAGAGUUGCAUUUUUUGAUUGAGUUUGAGUUUCUCUUCAGCACUUGUCUUGCAAUUCACUUUUUGACCUGCCAGCCUCAAACAACACCCUCUUUCUUCGCAUUAGAAAUGGAAACACGUCCUCUGCAGGAAUUUUCCACUUAAUAGCUCCUGCUUUCCUACCGGGGGCCUCAGUGCACCACCACUGCAAUGCUGUAUUUCUUUCCACUGCAGUUUGACAUUUUGCAGCCAGAACAACGAACGGCAUUCACUCCAUCCUGAUUUUUGAAAAACAUAUCUCUAUAGGCCCACAGAACACACCCAGUGCAGCAAUCACCAGGGGAAAAUGGCAAAGACUUGCUGCCUUUUUCUACCCACCACCUCAGCUUCAUGGAAAUAUCUCCUGGAGGGCUCCAGAGUUUCUGCUGAGUUGAAGGUGCCUCAAUGAUCUGAUUUCUCCUUCAGUGUUUUUAGAGCACCACAUGACCAGCAUUGCUCGGCAACACUGGGAAAUAAGUCUCUGUCACACUUGUUUAAAACAGUCAGGCACCAAAUGACAAGGCAAGCUGGAUGGAGGCUCAAAGACCAGAGGGGUGAAAGCUCUACUUAUCUCUGUGAUUCCCCAGGGGUUCCACUGCAGAGCUAAGCUUGCUGACAAACAGGCCCUGCAGAAGCACUCUCAGUUUGAACAUUAACCACGGUGCAGAGCAUGGAUCCACAGAGGGGUGGGAGAAUAUCUUUGCUGGGCAGAUUUGUAUGUAUUCUGCUAGAUGGAUUAAAAUACAGGUGUCAAGGAAACUUACCCAUGCAGGACCCCCCUCACUUCUGGCAGAAAAUUAGAGGCUUUCCAUAGGUUGACAUGACAUGUCCAGCCACUCUUCUCUCAGAUGGAAGCAUGUAGGUUGGUUGGAAAUACCAUAUUGUAUUGUACCAUGAUGAGGAUAGUUACAUUCAACAGCCUUCUCCAUGCCUCAGUUCCUAUGGAGCACAAUUGUAUAAACACCUAUUAAGUAUCUUAAAACACCCCAGAACAGGCUUAUUUGUAUUUAAAGGUUGUCAAUAAAAAUACUCUAGAUAUUUUAAUAA